This 750-nucleotide unclassified non-coding RNA is filed under the name uncultured fungus. Its description in RNAcentral is "sequence contains 18S rRNA gene, ITS1, 5.8S rRNA gene, ITS2, 28S rRNA gene". The record is from RNAcentral. Lineage: Eukaryota; Fungi.
UCAACGAAGUCCGGAUAGGCGACACGCGCCGCACUGUCGAUCGCGCCGCCGCGCAACUCGCGCGGAGCGCCUCGGCCGCGCUCAACAUCCCGGGCAUUCCGACGACCGCACGGUUCCCCAAUACGCUGCCGACAUUUCUCGUCAGCGGCUACCAGCAGCUCGGAUCGCCGCCCAACACGGCGUCGGCCUUCAGUACGAGCGUCACGGAGGUGGCCGACACCCUGACAUGGGUCACAGGACGGCACACGCUCAAGAUGGGCUUCGACUGGCGCUGGUCCCGGUUGAACGUGAUUCAGCCGCCGUCGCCGACGGGAUCGUUCACGUUCAAUGCGAUUGGCAGCGACCUGCCGGGCACCGCCAAUACCGGAACGCCGCUGGCCAGCUUCCUGCUCGGGCAGGUGCAGUCGUUCUCGAUCGAUCUGCAGCAGGGUGAGAUUCAGGAGCGCGCCCGCUUCCAGGAGUACUUCGUCCAGGACGACUGGAGGGUCUCCGAGCGCUUGACCGUCACCCCGGGCCUCCGGUACACGCUGAACUUCCCGUCCACGGAAAUCAACGGCCAGACGGCCGUCUUCAACCUGCAGAGCCAGCUGCUCGACUACCCGGGCGACAAGCCGGUGCGGCCGCUGAAGAAGAACAACUUCGGUCCCCGUCUGGGCGUGAUGUACCGGGCGACGGAGAAGACGCUGAUCAGUACGGGCUUCGGCCUGGUCUGGAUCGAGAUGGCGGGAAUCACCACACCGUUCACGACAC